GACGAACGCUGGCGGCGUGCUUAACACAUGCAAGUCGAACGGAAAGGCCCUCUUUUGUGGGGUGCUCGGGUGGCGAACGGGUGAGUAACACGUGAGUAACCUGCCCUUGACUUUGGGAUAACUUCAGGAAACUGGGGCUAAUACCGGAUAGGAGCUCCUGCUGCCUGGUGGGGGUUGGAAAGUUUCGGCGGUUGGGGAUGGACUCGCGGCUUAUCAGCUUGUUGGUGGGGUAGUGGCUUACCAAGGCUUUGACGGGUAGCCGGCCUGAGAGGGUGACCGGCCACAUUGGGACUGAGAUACGGCCCAGACUCCUACGGGAGGCAGCAGUGGGGAAUAUUGCACAAUGGGCGGAAGCCUGAUGCAGCAACGCCGCGUGCGGGAUGACGGCCUUCGGGUUGUAAACCGCUUUCGCCUGUGACGAAGCGUGAGUGACGGUAAUGGGUAAAGAAGCACCGGCUAACUACGUG
This 467-nucleotide ribosomal RNA is filed under the name uncultured bacterium. RNAcentral's name for it is "partial 16S ribosomal RNA". It matches the Rfam family "Bacterial small subunit ribosomal RNA", at positions 28 to 507 of the family's 1533-position model. The record is from RNAcentral.